This 94-nucleotide transfer RNA is filed under the name Zetaproteobacteria bacterium. RNAcentral describes it as "tRNA-Ser". It matches the Rfam family "tRNA". From Rfam's summary of the family: Transfer RNA (tRNA) molecules are approximately 80 nucleotides in length. Their secondary structure includes four short double-helical elements and three loops (D, anti-codon, and T loops). The record is from RNAcentral. Lineage: Bacteria; Pseudomonadati; Pseudomonadota; Candidatius Mariprofundia.
GGAGAGAUGUCUGAGUGGUUGAAGGAGCACGCCUGGAAAGCGUGUGUACCCUAAAAACGGGGUACCGAGGGUUCGAAUCCCUCUCUCUCCGCCA